CCUACGGGGGGCUGCAGUGGGGAAUAUUGGACAAUGGGGGGAACCCUGAUCCAGCCAUGCCGCGUGUGUGAAGAAGGCCCUCGGGUUGUAAAGCACUUUCAGUGAGGAAGAACGCCUGGUGGUUAAUACCUAUCAGGAAAGACAUCACUCACAGAAGAAGCACCGGCUAACUCCGUGCCAGCAGCCGCGGUAAUACGGAGGGUGCGAGCGUUAAUCGGAAUUACUGGGCGUAAAGCGCGCGUAGGUGGCUUGAUAAGCCGGUUGUUAAAGCCCCGGGCUCAACCUGGGAACGGCAUCCGGAACUGUCAAGCUAGAGUGCAGGAGAGGAAGGUAGAAUUCCCGGUGUAGCGGUGAAAUGCGUAGAGAUCGGGAGGAAUACCAGUGGCGAAGGCGGCCUUCUGGACUGACACUGACACUGAGGUGCGAAAGCGUGGGUAGCAAACAGGAUUAGAUACCCUAGUAGUC
Molecule: ribosomal RNA, 465 nt
Filed under: Vreelandella stevensii
Lineage: Bacteria; Pseudomonadati; Pseudomonadota; Gammaproteobacteria; Oceanospirillales; Halomonadaceae
Description: partial 16S ribosomal RNA
Rfam family: Bacterial small subunit ribosomal RNA
Source: RNAcentral